ACCACACACAAAGCCUGAACCGAUUGAGAAAGUCAGUCUGUGGAAAUCUCCUUCUGUAUUAUCUGAUCAUAGGCAGAUUGCCGGUACAGGAUUACAAACCUAUGCAAAGACAACUCAACCAGGUGCUCCAACACAAUGAGGCUGUCUGCUUGAUAGGCUAGCGAACGGUAAAACCCAGGAGCUUGGGCACACUUCUGCCGCCCAUGACGAAGAAAACAGAUUCAGCUCUUGUCUCCCAGGAGAUGGAUGCCAACCAGAACACAUCAAAGAAAAUGUCAUGUUGAAUUAGUUUCCACAUGCCCCCUGUAAAUAAGCUAAUAUGAUCAUGUACUCCGAGGAGAACGUAUAGCAUAAAGACUGAUUUGUGGAAAUAAAUAAAUAAAUAAAAAAGUUACUGAUGUCCAAGCAAAUCCAUUCACA
This is a long non-coding RNA of Etheostoma cragini (Arkansas darter), 420 nucleotides long. RefSeq lists it as uncharacterized. Lineage: Eukaryota; Metazoa; Chordata; Actinopteri; Perciformes; Percidae. The record is from RefSeq and is a predicted model, not a curated record. The transcript is spliced from 2 exons.